CUUUCUCAGGACCAACAAGCGACAGAUGAGGUCCUAGAUCCGGUGAUAGAUAGUGUCAAAUUCGAAAGUUGAUCGAAUAUUCUUAUUGUUUGAGUUCUAGAAUAUCCAUACAUGCUUAGUAUCUAUAUCAUUAUAAUCAUGAUUGUCUGAAUAGAAACCCUAAGUCUAACACUUUCCAUAUCUGUCUUAAAACCCCCAAUCAAUCA
RNAcentral lists this long non-coding RNA (206 nucleotides) under Brassica napus (rape). RNAcentral describes it as "long non-coding RNA (BNAP_LNC019904)". Lineage: Eukaryota; Viridiplantae; Streptophyta; Magnoliopsida; Brassicales; Brassicaceae. The record is from RNAcentral.